Misgurnus anguillicaudatus (oriental weatherfish) is the source of this 379-nucleotide non-coding RNA. The record is from RefSeq and is a predicted model, not a curated record. Lineage: Eukaryota; Metazoa; Chordata; Actinopteri; Cypriniformes; Cobitidae.
AGGCGCCUACACUGGGUCUUUAUCAUCCGUUUAAGGAGUUCUGGGUUCUGCUUCUCGAACGUCCACGUGGAGAAGUAAGCGAGUGUAAAAUGACGCUUAUCAUGGGCUCCUAAAAUGGGAAAAGGCCAAUGCAGGCUAGUGCAAAUAAAUAUGCCAUUGGUAAAACCAUAAAACAUGUAGCAUGUUAACAACAUGCUGAGAACACGAGGACCAGGAGCAUGUGUGUUCUUGAACGGCAGGUGACCUGAAUGCCGUUAAAAGCUGCAAAAGCAGCAUGAACUGGAUCCAGUGACCUUUUGAUGCUGUACUCCGUGUAUGUGUUUAGAUGAUCUUCAAUUUGUUUUAUAUUUUGUAAAUAAAAUCUAUUGCUUUACCUUUA